This 490-nucleotide ribosomal RNA is filed under the name uncultured bacterium. RNAcentral's name for it is "partial 16S ribosomal RNA". It matches the Rfam family "Bacterial small subunit ribosomal RNA", at positions 29 to 507 of the family's 1533-position model. The record is from RNAcentral.
AGUGAACGCUGGCGGCAGGCCUAACACAUGCAAGUCGAACGGCAGCACAAGAGAGCUUGCUCUCUGGGUGGCGAGUGGCGGACGGGUGAGGAAUGCAUCGGAAUCUGCCCAUUUGUGGGGGAUAACCUCGGGAAACCGGGACUAAUACCGCAUACGUCCUACGGGUGAAAGCAGGGGAUCUUCGGACCUUGCGCAGAUGGAUGAGCCGAUGCCGGAUUAGCUAGUUGGAGGGGUAAAGGCCCACCAAGGCGACGAUCCGUAGCUGGUCUGAGAGGAUGAUCAGCCACACUGGGACUGAGACACGACCCAGACUCCUACGGGAGGCAGCAGUGGGGAAUAUUGGACAAUGGGCGCAAGCCUGAUCCAGCCAUGCCGCGUGUGUGAAGAAGGCCUUCGGGUUGUAAAGCACUUUUGUUGGGAAAGAAAAGCAGCCGGUUAAUACCCGGUUGUCAUGACGGUACCCAAAGAAUAAGCACCGGCUAACUUCGUG